This 387-nucleotide ribosomal RNA is filed under the name uncultured bacterium. RNAcentral describes it as "bacterial SSU rRNA". It matches the Rfam family "Bacterial small subunit ribosomal RNA", at positions 29 to 416 of the family's 1533-position model. The record is from RNAcentral.
AUUGAACGCUGGCGGCAUGCCUUACACAUGCAAGUCGAACGGCAGCGACGGGGGCAACCCUGGUGGCGAGUGGCGAACGGGUGAGUAACACAUCGGAACGUGCCCAGUAGUGGGGGAUAGCUCGGCGAAAGCCGGAUUAAUACCGCAUACGACCUACGGGUGAAAGCGGGGGAUCGCAAGACCUCGCGCUAUUGGAGCGGCCGAUGUCAGAUUAGGUUGUUGGUGGGGUAAAGGCCUACCAAGCCGACGAUCUGUAGCUGGUCUGAGAGGACGACCAGCCACACUGGGACUGAGACACGGCCCAGACUCCUACGGGAGGCAGCAGUGGGGAAUUUUGGACAAUGGGCGCAAGCCUGAUCCAGCCAUGCCGCGUGCGGGAAGAAGGCC